Long non-coding RNA from Zalophus californianus (California sea lion), 1526 nucleotides. RefSeq lists it as uncharacterized. Lineage: Eukaryota; Metazoa; Chordata; Mammalia; Carnivora; Otariidae. The transcript is spliced from 7 exons. The record is from RefSeq and is a predicted model, not a curated record.
GCCACCGAAGCGGAUAACCCUGCGUGGCGGUGCCUGCGUCAUUCCCCGCGCUUCCUCUCAUCACGUAGGCAGUUUACCAUCUCAGGUGGGCUCAGUAAGGGUAAUGCAACUGAGCUCAAGAGAGGUUGAAUAACUUCAUCAAGAUCACACCACUAGUAAGAAGAACCGGGAUCCAAACAUUUGUAUAUAGAACCUCAUAGUUUCGGCUUGUUUCACUGUAGCACGAUGCUCUUCCCCUGAGAGUGGUGGCCAUGUGGGAAAGGCACUGGCCUGGGAGUCAGGAAGCCUCUGAUCCUGCCUGUGUCUGCCCCGAACCUAUGAGUCACCUUGGCACAAAAUCAGGACUGACGGAUCCGAAGUACACAGGAAGCAGAUUUCAUCUUAAUCCAACAAUGAGCUUCCUAUCAAUUCCAUUUGUUCCAUAAUAGAAUGGGCUGCCUCAAGGAGGGGUUUUCCGUAUCUUUGACCAAAGGAGAGUUGUCAUAAAAACAUAACUUGGUUCCAUGGCCAGGUUGACUGGUCCAGGUUUGGACUGCUUACUCAGGCUUGGCCAAUGAAUCCUUCCCUUGGAACUUCUGGAAUUGAGGCAAAAGAGAUCCUUGAAGGCUGUCACUUCCAGGUGCAUUGAGAUUGAUGACACAGAUUAUGUAUGCAGAAAUGCAAAAGAGAAAAGCUCAUUAAUUGCUUUAAAAUAUUACACCAAUGAUUAUCCUUGUUUUAUGGAAGAGGAAUCUGGCUCAGACAAGUGCUUCUUGUAAAGUUGCAGAAAUAAGCUGAGUCAAUAGAGAUAAUUCACAACUUAAAUGAACUCUGCAAAUUACCCGCAAGACAAAAGUCCCACCUCAUCAGAAUUUUCCUGGGACUGAGUUGAGAACAUAUGCCAUGUGAAAGUGGGAGAAGACCAGAAAUAGCUCAUUUGAGCUGGUGCAUGAAAUUUUAUUGGGAACAGGUAUGAUUUUGGCAAGACCAUGGGGCAACCAAAGAGAAGAAGACUGUAGGUCACACAAGGUGGUUCUAUGCUUUAGUGACUUGAGGACAGCCUAUCCAACUCAUCAUCAGAAGUUCCAAAAGUUGCUGAAUAGUUGGAAGAACCAGGCAACUGGCUGGACUGACUUGCUCCCUGAGGCUUUUUGCAGCUGUAAGCAAGUGCCCUGAAUCAAUAAGAUUUUCACUUUAGGAAGAGAAGAGAUAUGGCCAUGGAUUUCUACCAGUGGGAAAACGACGUAGCCCUGUCUUUGCCAACUGGCUGGUCAACUCUUCUUAUUGCAUUAGCAGAAUGAAAUUUUGCUAUUGGCCCCAGUACCUCUGGAAAGCCUCCAUGAUUCCUGUGGCCUUUUCUGCUUUUUCUCUAUUUUUUUUUUGCCUGGAUGAACUAGUGUCUAGAAGAGUACCUGAGAUGCGGUAUUUGCUAAAUGAAUGAACUUCUUCAUCCUUUACUCUUCAGUAUUCGGUAACAUUCACGAGGUUCUUUUACCAUUGAAAUUAAAAAUCUUAAGACCUUGGAAGCCAAGGCCUUAGAGCUAAUA